CAAAGGUCCACUCAGUUUCAAGGGGUGGUAACAUGGACCCCACUUCUCAGUGGAGGAACAUCAAUGUCACAUUAUGAGAAGAACACGUGGGACGGACAUGUAUUGUGCUGCUGUCUUUGGAAAAUACAAUCUGGUACAACUCCCUACUGGUGGGAUCUCACACACAAACGGAGCCCAGUCAGCGAUGACCAGAAAGUUUCCUGCUUUGAAGUAGGCCUUCCCUGGGCUCAAGGAGGAGCUUAAAGACUGAAGGUUCUGGGGACUAGGAUGUGGACAUAUUUUUUGGGAGGGCCACCAUUCAACCCACCACAAUGCCAAUUUUACAGAUGAUGAAACCGAGUAACUUGCUAAAGCAACACAGCUAGUAAUAGCAGAACAGAGAAGGCAAUCCAGGCAGUCUGGCUCUGAAGCCCAUGUUCUUAGCAGAGAAAUGAGGGGACAAGACCAGUUCUGGAGGCUAGAAGUCCAACAUUUGCAGUUGGCAAGCUGGAGACCCAGGAGAGCCAAUGGUACAGUUCCAACCUGAGUCUGAAGAUCUAAGAACUGGCAGAGCUGAUGGUAUGAGUUCCAGUUCAUGUUUGAGUCCAGGGGCAGGAGAAGACCAAUCUCCCAGCUUGAAGACAGUCAGGCAGAGGGAAGAUGCUGAAUUUACUGUGCAUUAAAAAGAGAGGAUGGAAAAGAAAUCAACGAUACAAUAAGGAGCUCAGAGGACUGGACUAACAAACUCCUUCAAGAGAGCCUGCUGUGGGGAGCAGAGUGGACUGAAAGGCCUAGCUGCUCUGCCCUGGAUCCACAGUAGCAUUGCUGAAGCCACGCUUCCCCCAGACUGUUUCUAGCCAAUAACUGAGCAGAAGGAGAAAAUUGAAGGCCAUGGAAUGAAGUCAAUUGCCAAAGUCACACCCCUAGAACAAAUGGAUGCCGUUUUGGCAACAAUUUUAAAUCUCCACUCUCGCAGUAUUGUCUCAGGCUAUCUGGGGAAACUUCACAUCUGAUUUGACUUGGGUUCCAGUUCCUGCCGCCAGCUUGCAGCAAACUGGCUCAGCUGACGUGGUCACCCUUGGAGAAUUCAAAGUUGGGGACAUAGCUGUCCUCUGUACAGAAGUGGAGGAGGAAGGGCUGAGUGUCAGGAAGGCCCACGUGAAUGGAGAUGACAAACUCUCAAUUCGACCAGGCUCUCCAAACGACAGGGCAGGUGAGUUUGAAUGGGGUCUCUGAUCUUACGACGUGAGCAAGGGCCAAGGGUGGCAUGUUCCAGCAAACUUCCUUGUUUGGAAGGACACCGAGACAACAAGCUUUUGCCAGGUGGCUCACACGCCAGGUUUUCCUUUAAGCUAUGUUUUUGAGCUCUGCCUGCAGAAGGCACUUCAAUUGCUCCUCAGUCUCAUAACCCCCCUUUCUCUGUUGUGAGCUUUCUCCUCGACAUUGCUGCUCAGGGGAAGAGAGAGAUUAAAGAGGUG
This 1457-nucleotide long non-coding RNA is filed under the name Equus caballus (horse). RNAcentral's name for it is "lncRNA (ENSECAG00000056543.1)". The record is from RNAcentral. Lineage: Eukaryota; Metazoa; Chordata; Mammalia; Perissodactyla; Equidae.